CACACAUUAUGUUGUAGUUUGUCUGCGCAGUCUUUUGUUAGUUUUGUGUUAUUCUUUGUGUCACCCCUUUGGGAGGGUGAAAUGCCUUGUUUUUGUAUCUCUGUUGGACCUCACUCUCCCGAGGGGAUGGUUGUGAUCCUAGCUCCUAGCAGGAAAAUACAACCUGAAAAAUAUGCUGAUGAUGUCAUUCUACUUGCAGAGAAAACUAAGAGGACUCCAUUAAUCACUGUAAAUUGGUAGCAACGCUGACAGUUAUUUGUGGACACUAUGUGGCUACAACUUUAUACUUCCCUCAGAGAACCGGGAGUAUUACCAUGAAGCAUCUACCAAUCACCAUCUGGAUUUAUAAAGGUGCUCCAUGAUUGGUGGAGCUCCUCUUUUUCAUCACAGAUCUCGUUUCAAUACCAAGAAAAGUUUCCAGGCAAAGAAGAACCAGAUGCCCCUCGAUUUCUCAAAGUUACAGAGUGAUUACUGUCCCCUGCACAAUGCUUUUAGGCCUCACGUAAAAUAUCAGAAAAAAGAAGCCUGUUUGGACUGGGAGAGGAAAGAUAAGAGAGAAAUAAACACGGCCGUAAUUUAAAGCUUUUUAAGUUUUCUAUUUGCAGGGUCAUGUUCUGUAACUCAAUGUGACUUACCGUAUUCAUUUUGUUAAUGGAGUGAGUCAAAACAAUGUCACGGAACGACAAUAGCUUCUCAUGAGUGUGUGGAGUCAUUGACCAGACAGACUGACUAUGGGGAGGUCAGGUAUGAUGACUUUGGAGAUGGAGUUUGGAGUGCAAAUCAUGCAGGAUGACUGUAAUUGUCUGAAAGUACAGAUUAUGUGGUUAGGCACCAUAGAGUAUAAAAUCCCUACAUUUAUUUGUAGGGAUAUGCCCCUACAGCACAUAGAUCAUGAUGAAAGGAUGGUCAGGUAAGUUGAUGACACAGAUAACAUUUUCUCUGCCAUAAAGUGACAGAUGUUUUGUAAGUACAGAAAAUAUAUUCAAGUCGACUGACUAAGGAUUGCAGUCCACAUACUGUAAGUCAAGAUGAUUUUAUUUAAGGUGUUCAAAUGUCAAAAUGCAUGUUUUGCCAUGAAAUGGGGAUACUAUGUAUAAAA
Long non-coding RNA from Conger conger (European conger), 1099 nucleotides. RefSeq lists it as uncharacterized. NCBI's taxonomy places the organism in Eukaryota, Metazoa, Chordata, Actinopteri, Anguilliformes, Congridae. The record is from RefSeq and is a predicted model, not a curated record. The transcript has 3 exons.